CGCCGCGGUUAUACGAGAGGCCCAAGUUAAUAAUUAACGGCGUAAAGAGUGGUUAAUAAAGUUUAGUACUAAAGCCGAACCCCUUCUAGAUUGUUAUACGUUUAAUUGAAGGUGGGAAGUUCAGCUACGAAAGUGGCUUUAUACUUAUGAAUCCACGAAAGCUAAGGCA
This 169-nucleotide ribosomal RNA is filed under the name Johnius belangerii (Belanger's croaker). RNAcentral's name for it is "partial 12S small subunit ribosomal RNA". Lineage: Eukaryota; Metazoa; Chordata; Actinopteri; Sciaenidae. The record is from RNAcentral.